AGGACGAACGCUGGCGGCGUGCUUAACACAUGCAAGUCGAGCGGAAAGGCCCUUCGGGGUACUCGAGCGGCGAACGGGUGAGUAACACGUGAGCAAUCUGCCCUUAGCUUCGGGAUAGCUCCGGGAAACCGGAAUUAAUACCGAAUAUGACUUCGGCCGACAUCGGCCUUGGUGGAAAGUUUUUCGGCUAGGGAUGAACUCGCGGCCUAUCAGCUUGUUGGUGGGGUAAUGGCCUACCAAGGCGACGACGGGUAGCCGGCCUGAGAGGGCGACCGGCCACACUGGGACUGAGACACGGCCCAGACUCCUACGGGAGGCAGCAGUGGGGAAUAUUGCGCAAUGGGCGAAAGCCUGACGCAGCGACGCCGCGUGGGGGAUGAAGGCCUUCGGGUUGUAAACCCUUUCAGCAGGGACGAAGCGAAGUGACGGUACCUGCAGAAGAAGCGCCGGCUAACUACGCGCCAGCAGCCGC
RNAcentral lists this ribosomal RNA (472 nucleotides) under uncultured bacterium. RNAcentral's name for it is "SSU rRNA". It matches the Rfam family "Bacterial small subunit ribosomal RNA", at positions 26 to 518 of the family's 1533-position model. The record is from RNAcentral.